GAUUACCUCCUUUGGAGCACUUGGUGAGCUAAAUUCUCAAAAAGAGGGAUUAAAGAGGGAAAACUGGACUGAGUACUUUGAGCUAAUCUCUACGGGAGCCAAUUUCAUUUCUGUGAUCACAGAGGAAGAGAAUGAGUCUACUGUGUUGACUGCUUUAUUUUAUCCCCUCUUAUCACUUUGUUGAACAAGCUGCAGAUUCUAGACU
Lagopus leucura (white-tailed ptarmigan) is the source of this 205-nucleotide long non-coding RNA. RefSeq lists it as uncharacterized. The transcript is spliced from 3 exons. NCBI's taxonomy places the organism in Eukaryota, Metazoa, Chordata, Aves, Galliformes, Phasianidae. The record is from RefSeq and is a predicted model, not a curated record.